UGUCUUUAACUGAUAUGACGAGCUUGCUCUGAUGUGAUUUUAUCUGACAAAGAGUGGCGAACGGGUGAGUAACACGUGGGUAACCUACCUCUUAGCAGGGGAUAACAUUUGGAAACAAGUGCUAAUACCGUAUAAUACCAACAACCGCAUGGUUGUUGGUUGAAAGAUGGUUCUGCUAUCACUAAGAGAUGGACCCGCGGUGCAUUAGCUAGUUGGUAAGGUAACGGCUUACCAAGGCAAUGAUGCAUAGCCGAGUUGAGAGACUGAUCGGCCACAAUGGGACUGAGACACGGCCCAUACUCCUACGGGAGGCAGCAGUAGGGAAUCUUCCACAAUGGGCGCAAGCCUGAUGGAGCAACGCCGCGUGUGUGAUGAAGGGUUUCGGCUCGUAAAACACUGUUAUAAGAGAAGAACGGCACUGAGAGUAACUGUUCAGUGUGUGACGGUAUCUUACCAGAAAGGAACGGCUAAAUACGUGCCAGCAGCCGCGGUAAUACGUAUGUUCCAAGCGUUAUCCGGAUUUAUUGGGCGUAAAGCGAGCGCAGACGGUUAUUUAAGUCUGAAGUGAAAGCCCUCAGCUCAACUGAGGAAUGGCUUUGGAAACUGGAUGACUUGAGUGCAGUAGAGGAAAGUGGAACUCCAUGUGUAGCGGUGAAAUGCGUAGAUAUAUGGAAGAACACCAGUGGCGAAGGCGGCUUUCUGGACUGUAACUGACGUUGAGGCUCGAAAGUGUGGGUAGCAAACAGGAUUAGAUACCCUGGUAGUCCACACCGUAAACGAUGAGUGCUAGAUGUUCGAGGGUUUCCGCCCUUGAGUGUCGCAGCUAACGCAUUAAGCACUCCGCCUGGGGAGUACGACCGCAACGUUGAAACUCAAAGGAAUUGACAGGGACCCGCACAAGCGGUGGAGCAUGUGGUUUUAUUCGAAGCAACGCGAAGAACCUUACCAGGUCUUGACAUCCCGUGCUCAUCCUA
This 974-nucleotide ribosomal RNA is filed under the name Weissella paramesenteroides. RNAcentral's name for it is "bacterial SSU rRNA". It matches the Rfam family "Bacterial small subunit ribosomal RNA", at positions 45 to 1002 of the family's 1533-position model. The record is from RNAcentral. Lineage: Bacteria; Bacillati; Bacillota; Bacilli; Lactobacillales; Lactobacillaceae.